UAGGGAAUCUUCCACAAUGGGCGCAAGCCUGAUGGAGCAACACCGCGUGAGUGAAGAAGGGUUUCGGCUCGUAAAGCUCUGUUGUUGGAGAAGAACGUGCGUGAGAGUAACUGUUCACGCAGUGACGGUAUACAACCAGAAAGUCACGGCUAACUACGUGCCAC
This 164-nucleotide ribosomal RNA is filed under the name uncultured bacterium. RNAcentral's name for it is "partial 16S rRNA". It matches the Rfam family "Bacterial small subunit ribosomal RNA", at positions 355 to 511 of the family's 1533-position model. The record is from RNAcentral.